GGUUUCUCUGUGUGGCCCUGGCUGUCCUAGAACUCACCAGGCUGGCCUCAAACUCAGAAAUCCGCCUGCCUCUGCCUCUCGAGUGCUGGACUUAAAGGCGUGCACCACCACUGCCC
RNAcentral lists this microRNA precursor (116 nucleotides) under Mus caroli (Ryukyu mouse). RNAcentral's name for it is "miRNA (MGP_CAROLIEiJ_G0007347.1)". Lineage: Eukaryota; Metazoa; Chordata; Mammalia; Rodentia; Muridae. The record is from RNAcentral.